This 585-nucleotide small RNA is filed under the name Histoplasma capsulatum var. duboisii H88. RNAcentral's name for it is "Histoplasma capsulatum H88 hypothetical RNA". Lineage: Eukaryota; Fungi; Ascomycota; Eurotiomycetes; Onygenales; Ajellomycetaceae. The record is from RNAcentral.
AUGGGGGUUCAAUGUUGUGUUUUUCGCUGAAAAUUUGACCACUUGCUCUUUGACCCGUUCCACUGGAUGUCCCGCCAUCCGGCAACUCCGAAGUACCGAAAUUUCCCACAACUCAUACCAUUUAUUUUUCGUCCCUGGAAAGACCCGCGGGUUCGCUUCCUCUAGUAGUUCUAUAGAGUCUUGGCUCGAGCUGAACAUAUAAGGGUUGAAGCCGUUAUACUUUGAACUUCUUGUUCAACCCCAGAUCGAUCUCUGUUUGGAUGCAAUUGGUAACCUACUUAGGUCAGCCAGAUUCGGGGGAGCAGGGCCUUUGGACCACCCCGAGGAUCAAUGAAUGAUUCAUGAACGGACAUUGGCUGGUAGGUGACUUUGUGUAUCCUAGGAAUUCGAGGCCACGGAUUUGCCAGAUUCAGCCAAAGAUGGACGGCACUAGUUCGAGGGAAUCUGGGUCUCAUGGGAAAAUUCCGUGGAUGGAAAUACUAUUAUUCCUUGGAUUGCUAGCAAGUAGUCAAUGAGCUUCUCAUGGUUGGCUUGGUACAUUCCUUGCGAAUUUGUCAACCUCCAUCAAUGUAAAGAACUAGAAAG